AGAUCUUGGGUACUUAUAUAGGAUCAAGGAACCCAAAUAAUACCUUUAGGUGAGGUUCCGAGUUGUUACAGUUCAAUAUUAAGACAUUAAAGGUCCAAAGCGAUGAAGAAAAUUGGGUUCAUUCCUACUUCAUGUCUGAUUUAAACGGUCGGGGUGUGUGUGUGUGUGUAGACUAAGGAUACUCUAAUUUAUGUAAAUCCUUAUCAACUUCCACAUGAUGUCGGGCUGAUGGAAGACAACUCAAAAUUCGUGCAACCACGAGCUCUUCGUCUCUUUUGGCGGGCGAACAUGUAUCCUAAUAUUGGACCACGUACGACAUGCUCAGGGGCCCAACUAAUAGACCAACCGAUCAGACGUGCGGUGGAUGCCGUGUUCUUGGGUUAAUGGGGCGGCAGAUGGAUGAGGUCCAAGAGAACGCACGGACGCCAUGGCUCCUUGUCGGCUGAAUCCAGUUGC
RNAcentral lists this long non-coding RNA (456 nucleotides) under Phoenix dactylifera (date palm). RNAcentral's name for it is "long non-coding RNA (PDAC_LNC016212)". Lineage: Eukaryota; Viridiplantae; Streptophyta; Magnoliopsida; Arecales; Arecaceae. The record is from RNAcentral.